GACGAACGCUGGCGGCGUGCCUAAUACAUGCAAGUAGAACGCAGUUGCGAAAGGGUGAGUAACGCGUAUGUAACCUGCCUCAUAGCGGGGGAUAACUAUUGGAAACGAUAGCUAAUACCGCAUACUGUGGGAUGGACCGGCGUUGUAUUAGCUAGUUGGAGAGGUAAAGGCUCACCAAGGCGACGAUACAUAGCCGACCUGAGAGGGUGAGCGGCCACACUGGGACUGAGACACGGCCCAGAGUCACUCGGGAGGCAGCAGUAGGGUAUCUUCGGCAAUGGCCGGAAGUCUGACCGAGCAACGCCGCGUGAGUGAAGAAGGGUUUCGGCUCGUAAAGCUCGGUUGUUAGAGAAGCGGUAACUACACAGAAAGGGACGGCUAACUACGUGCCAGCAGCCGCGGUAAUAC
RNAcentral lists this ribosomal RNA (408 nucleotides) under uncultured bacterium. RNAcentral's name for it is "partial 16S ribosomal RNA". It matches the Rfam family "Bacterial small subunit ribosomal RNA", at positions 28 to 526 of the family's 1533-position model. The record is from RNAcentral.